UGCAGUCGACGAGACAUCGUUUUAGAUUGAAGGUGCUUGCACCUGAUUGAAAAAACAUUUUGUCGAGUGGCGGACGGGUGAGUAACACGUAGGUAACCUACCCAAAAGAGGGGGAUAACAUCUGGAAACAGGUGCUAAUACCGCAUAACAACAUUUAUCGCAUGAUAGAUGUUUGAAAGAUGGUUUCGGCUAUCACUUUUGGAUGGACCUGCGGCGUAUUAGUUAGUUGGUGAGGUAACGGCUCACCAAGACGAUGAUACGUAGCCGAACUGAGAGGUUGAUCGGCCACACUGGGACUGAGACACGGCCCAGACUCCUACGGGAGGCAGCAGUAGGGAAUCUUCCACAAUGGACGAAAGUCUGAUGGAGCAACGCCGCGUGAGUGAAGAAGGUUUUCGGAUCGUAAAACUCUGUUGUUGGAGAAGAAUGUAUCUGAUAGUAACUGAUCAGGUAGUGACGGUAUCCAACCAGAAAGCCACGGCUAACUACGUGCCAGCAGCCGCGGUAAUACGUAGGUGGCAAGCGUUAUCCGGAUUUAUUGGGCGUAAAGCGAGUGCAGGCGGUUUAUUAAGUCUGAUGUGAAAGCCCUCGGCUCAACCGAGGAAGUGCAUCGGAAACUGGUUUACUUGAGUGCAGAAGAGGAGAGUGGAACUCCAUGUGUAGCGGUGGAAUGCGUAGAUAUAUGGAAGAACACCAGUGGCGAAGGCGGCUCUCUGGUCUGUUACUGACGCUGAGGCUCGAAAGUAUGGGUAGCAAACAGGAUUAGAUACCCUGGUAGUCCAUACCGUAAACGAUGAGUGCUAAGUGUUUGGGGGUUUCCGCCCCUAAGUGCUGGAGCUAACGCAUUAAGCACUCCGCCUGGGGAGUACGACCGCAAGGUUGAAACUCAAAGGAAUUGACGGGGGCCCGCACAAGCGGUGGAGCAUGUGGUUUAAUUCGAAGCAACGCGAAGAACCUUACCAGGUCUUGACAUCUUCUGACAUUUCUAGAGAUAGAAGGUUCCCUUCGGGGACAGAAUGACAGGUGGUGCAUGGUUGUCGUCAGCUCGUGUCGUGAGAUGUUGGGUUAAGUCCCGCAACGAGCGCAACCCUUAUUAUCAGUUGCCAGCAUUAAGUUGGGG
RNAcentral lists this ribosomal RNA (1120 nucleotides) under Latilactobacillus sakei. Its description in RNAcentral is "bacterial SSU rRNA". It matches the Rfam family "Bacterial small subunit ribosomal RNA", at positions 56 to 1136 of the family's 1533-position model. The record is from RNAcentral. Lineage: Bacteria; Bacillati; Bacillota; Bacilli; Lactobacillales; Lactobacillaceae.